GACCUUCGGGAGCUUGUACAGGUGCUGCAUGGCUGUCGUCAGCUCGUGUCGUGAGAUGUUCGGUUAAGUCCGCUAACGAGCGCAACCCUCGCUGUGUGUUACAAGUGUCACACGGAACUGCCGGUCAUAAACCGGGGGAAGGUGGGGAUGACGUCAAGUCAGCAUGGCCUUUAUAUCCUGGGCUACACACACGCUACAAUGGGAAGGGACAAUAGGUUGCGAAGCCGCGAGGCGGAGCCAAUCCAGCAAAACUUCCCUCAGUUCAGAUUGCAGGCUGCAACCCGCCUGCAUGAAGUUGGAGUUGCUAGUAAACGCAGGUCAGCCAUACUGCGUUGAAUACGUUCCCGGGGCUU
Molecule: ribosomal RNA, 353 nt
Filed under: uncultured Anaerolineaceae bacterium
Lineage: Bacteria; Bacillati; Chloroflexota; Anaerolineae; Anaerolineales; Anaerolineaceae
Description: bacterial SSU rRNA
Rfam family: Bacterial small subunit ribosomal RNA
Source: RNAcentral